Molecule: ribosomal RNA, 301 nt
Filed under: uncultured bacterium
Lineage: Bacteria
Description: partial 16S ribosomal RNA
Rfam family: Bacterial small subunit ribosomal RNA
Source: RNAcentral
CAGCCGCCGCGGUAAUACGAAGGGUGCAAGCGUUAAUCGGAAUUACUGGGCGUAAAGCGUGCGUAGGCGGUGAGUUAAGUCUGCUGUGAAAUCCCCGGGCUCAACCUGGGAAUGGCAGUGGAUACUGGCUCGCUAGAGUGUGUCAGAGGGUGGUGGAAUUCCCGGUGUAGCGGUGAAAUGCGUAGAGAUCGGGAGGAACAUCAGUGGCGAAGGCGGCCAUCUGGGACAACACUGACGCUGAGGCACGAAAGCGUGGGGAGCAAACAGGAUUAGAUACCCGGGUAGUCCCUGUCUCUUAUAC